AGAGCCAUGUCAGAAACAGUUUCA
RNAcentral lists this non-coding RNA (24 nucleotides) under Arabidopsis thaliana (thale cress). Lineage: Eukaryota; Viridiplantae; Streptophyta; Magnoliopsida; Brassicales; Brassicaceae. The record is from RNAcentral.